RNAcentral lists this transfer RNA (73 nucleotides) under Caudoviricetes sp. RNAcentral describes it as "tRNA-Met". Lineage: Duplodnaviria; Heunggongvirae; Uroviricota; Caudoviricetes. The record is from RNAcentral.
GGUUCCCUAUCUCAAGCGGAAGAGAUCCCGGCUCAUAACCGGGCAUAUCCUGGUUCGAGGCCAGGGGGAGCCA